This 332-nucleotide unclassified non-coding RNA is filed under the name soil metagenome. RNAcentral describes it as "partial contains 5.8S ribosomal RNA, internal transcribed spacer 2, and large subunit ribosomal RNA". The stretch from base 1 to 120 matches the Rfam family "5.8S ribosomal RNA", at positions 35 to 154 of the family's 154-position model. The record is from RNAcentral.
GAUGAAGAACGCAGCUAAAUGCGAUAAGUAGUGUGAAUUGCAGAAUUCAGUGAAUCAUCGAAUCUUUGAACGCACAUUGCGCCCUUUGGUAUUCCUUAGGGCAUGCCUGUUCGAGCGUCAUUUAAACCUUCAAGCUAAGCUUGGUGUUGGGUGACUGUCCGCUUCACGGCGGACUCGCCUCAAAAUUAUUGGCGGCCGGUACAUUGGCUUCGAGCGCAGCAGAAACGCGAACUCGGGCCCGUCGUAUUGGCUCCCAGAAGCUAUCUUCACAAUUUUGACCUCGGAUCAGGUAGGGAUACCCGCUGAACUUAAGCAUAUCAAUAAGCGGAGGA